RNAcentral lists this ribosomal RNA (490 nucleotides) under uncultured bacterium. RNAcentral describes it as "partial 16S ribosomal RNA". It matches the Rfam family "Bacterial small subunit ribosomal RNA", at positions 30 to 507 of the family's 1533-position model. The record is from RNAcentral.
AUUGAACGCUGGCGGCAGGCCUAACACAUGCAAGUCGAACGGUAACAGGAAGCAGCUUGCUGCUUCGCUGACGAGUGGCGGACGGGUGAGUAAUGUCUGGGAAACUGCCUGAUGGAGGGGGAUAACUACUGGAAACGGUAGCUAAUACCGCAUAACGUCGCAAGACCAAAGAGGGGGACCUUAGGGCCUCUUGCCAUCGGAUGUGCCCAGAUGGGAUUAGCUAGUAGGUGGGGUAACGGCUCACCUAGGCGACGAUCCCUAGCUGGUCUGAGAGGAUGACCAGCCACACUGGAACUGAGACACGGUCCAGACUCCUACGGGAGGCAGCAGUGGGGAAUAUCGCACAAUGGGCGCAAGCCUGAUGCAGCCAUGCCGCGUGUAUGAAGAAGGCCUUCGGGUUGUAAAGUACUUUCAGCGGGGAGGAAGGGAGUAAAGUUAAUACCUUUGCUCAUUGACGUUACCCGCAGAAGAAGCACCGGCUAACUCCGUG